This 780-nucleotide ribosomal RNA is filed under the name uncultured Neocallimastigales. RNAcentral's name for it is "partial large subunit ribosomal RNA". It matches the Rfam family "Eukaryotic large subunit ribosomal RNA", at positions 24 to 647 of the family's 3401-position model. Lineage: Eukaryota; Fungi; Neocallimastigomycota; Neocallimastigomycetes; Neocallimastigales. The record is from RNAcentral.
UAUGUGAUCGUCUCUCGCAUAUCAAUAAGCGGAGGAAAAGAAACUAACAAGGAUUCCCCUAGUAACGGCGAGUGAAGCGGGAAGAGCUCAAAUUUGAAAUCUUAAAGGGUUUCCCUUUACGAAUUGUAGUUUAAAGAAGUGUUUUUCUGUUGAGGUUUUGGUAAAAGUUCUUUGGAAUAGGACAUCAUAGAGGGUGAGAAUCCCGUAUUUGACCUUUACUUUCAACCUUGUGAUACACUUUCAAAGAGUCGGAUUGUUUGGGAAUGCAGUCCAAAAUGGGUGGUAAAUUUCAUCUAAAGCUAAAUAUUGGUGAGAGACCGAUAGCGAACAAGUACCGUGAGGGAAAGAUGAAAAGAACUUUGAAAAGAGAGUUUAAACAGUACGUGAAAUUGUCAAAAGGGAAGCGUUUGACACCAGUGUUGUUUUUUCUGAAAAUCAAUUAAAGAACUGUUUAUGCUAAGCUUGUUUAGACUUUAUCAGCUAAUCUGUUUAGUUUUUGAGCUUUUCUUUAAUGCACUUUUCAGUUAACAAGUCAACAUCAAUUUCUUUUGCUGUAAAAAAGCUUGAGGAAGGUGGCUUGAGAUUCGUCUUAAGUGUUUAUAGCCUCUUGCCUAUGCAGUCGGAGAGAUUGAGGUCUGCAGCGUAGAUCCUUCGGGGCUAAAUGCAUUUGUGCUAAGUUAUAGCAUUUUAUAGACAACUUGUUGACUAUGAUUUGUCUUGUAGCUUACUCGCUUAUGUUAUUUUACCUACGCUUAGGAUGUUGAUCUGUAGUGCGUGCGC